GGAAUAUUGGGCAAUGGGGGGAACCCUGACCCAGCCAUGCCGCGUGAGGGAAGUAGGCCCUACGGGUCGUGAACCUCUUUUGCCGGGGGACAAUGACGCCGUCGCGAACGGUGUUUGCGGGUACCCGGCGAAUAAGCAUCGGCUAACUCCGUGCCAGCAGCCGCGGUAAUACGGAGGAUGCGAGCGUUAUCCGGAUUCAUUGGGUUUAAAGGGUGCGCAGGCGGCCGGCCAAGUCAGCGGUGAAAGUCAGGGGCCCAACCCCGGAAGUGCCGUUGAUACUGGUUGGCUGGAAUGCGGUCGAGGCGGGCGGAAUGUGGCGUGUAGCGGUGAAAUGCGUAGAUAUGCCACAGAACGCCGAUAGCGAAGGCAGCUCGCCAGGCCUGCAUUGACGCUCGGGCACGAAAGCGUGGGGAUCGAACA
RNAcentral lists this ribosomal RNA (420 nucleotides) under uncultured bacterium. RNAcentral describes it as "bacterial SSU rRNA". It matches the Rfam family "Bacterial small subunit ribosomal RNA", at positions 358 to 774 of the family's 1533-position model. The record is from RNAcentral.